AAAUUGAAGAGUUUGAUCAUGGCUCAGAUUGAACGCUGGCGGCAGGCCUAACACAUGCAAGUCGAACGGUAACAGGAAACAGCUUGCUGUUUCGCUGACGAGUGGCGGACGGGUGAGUAAUGUCUGGGAAACUGCCUGAUGGAGGGGGAUAACUACUGGAAACGGUAGCUAAUACCGCAUAAUGUCGCAAGACUAAAGAGGGGGACCUU
RNAcentral lists this ribosomal RNA (209 nucleotides) under Escherichia coli. RNAcentral's name for it is "partial 16S ribosomal RNA". It matches the Rfam family "Bacterial small subunit ribosomal RNA", at positions 1 to 216 of the family's 1533-position model. Lineage: Bacteria; Pseudomonadati; Pseudomonadota; Gammaproteobacteria; Enterobacterales; Enterobacteriaceae. The record is from RNAcentral. RNAcentral also lists the same sequence under 1 other name.